RNAcentral lists this ribosomal RNA (253 nucleotides) under uncultured bacterium. Its description in RNAcentral is "partial 16S ribosomal RNA". It matches the Rfam family "Bacterial small subunit ribosomal RNA", at positions 15 to 257 of the family's 1533-position model. The record is from RNAcentral.
GAUCAUGGCUCAGGAUGAACGCUAGCUACAGGCUUAACACAUGCAAGUCGAGGGGAAACGACAGAGGAAGCUUGCUUUCUUUGGGCGUCGACCGGCGCACGGGUGAGUAACGCGUAUCCAACCUUCCCGCAAGUAAGGGAUAACCCGUAGAAAUGCGGCCUAAUACCUUAUGUUUUCCUUAGAGGGCACCUGAUGAGGAACAAAGAUCCGUCGCUUGCGGAUGGGGAUGCGUCUGAUUAGUUAGUCGGCGGGG